Suricata suricatta (meerkat) is the source of this 2673-nucleotide RNA transcript. It is a transcript of the gene named high mobility group nucleosome-binding domain-containing protein 4-like, with no coding region annotated. The record is from RefSeq and is a predicted model, not a curated record. The transcript has 3 exons. NCBI's taxonomy places the organism in Eukaryota, Metazoa, Chordata, Mammalia, Carnivora, Herpestidae.
GCAUGUGUGCAAAUGCAGCUCACUUCUGGAGACUGAGCUGCACGUAGUACCUAGUUCACUGACAUGGUCUGGAGAAUUCCCAGUGCAUGUCACAGAGGGUCUGUCACACCGCAUCUCCUCAUCGGAGCUGGCGUUUGCACGCUUCUCCUGCACGUGAAAGCUAGGAUUUGCUCUUUAUUUCACUAUUAUGUGUUUUCAGCUCUUUCUGCCAAUUUCAACUUCCUGGGUCUUUUGCUAGUAGGAAAACACACGUGUUCAUAGGUAACACGUAUUUUAAGGAAAGCACGUGUCCCCUUUCCCGGGGCUGCUGGAGGAGAGCCCUGCACAUUAGCACCGAGCAGUGUGGCUCCGGGAAGAGAUAGACUUCGAGCUUCCCCAAGACCGUCAGGCCGGUGCAACCUGAAGAUGGGGAUUCAGACUCACUGAAUCUGUUCUGUUCUCUGUUGGAGUAGCGCGUCCAAGGACAAAACUAUUAACAAAGGGGACUUGUUAAAUUCCUAGAACUUUAAAAAGUUGCCAUGUCUUGAUAAUUUGCCAUGGAGAUAGCAUUGAGAGCCUAUUUCUGUAUUCCCGAAGUUACAAAAUUACCCAGAUAUAUCUGCCAGUUGGUGCACGACAGAAUGUUUGUCGUCCUGUGAAUUCUAGAUGUUAUUGCCUGACAAAUUGUUUCUUCCUUUUUUAAAUCUUUAACUAUGGGGGUUUCUGUUUUGUUUUAAAUCAGUAGAUUUUAUUUUUCUUUUUUAAGAACCGUUUUAGUUUUUCAGACAAAUUGAGCAGAACGUCCAGUUGGCCUAGUAGUAAAGUUUCUGUCUCAGUAACCCUUGCGCCGUGCGCUGCCUGCAUCCCCGCCAACGGGCCAGGCGUUCCGCAGCGUUCCCCGAAGUCCAGUCUGCGGCAGGCCCCCCUUGUGCGUACGUCGGGGGUUGCCAGGUCCCUGGACAGCCAGCCUGUGGUCUCCUGCCAAGCUUCCUGAAGAAAUCUUCCCAGGAGCAGUGUGAGGAAGACAGACCCCAGCGCCCCCGCCGGCCUGCCACCAUGCCCAAGAGAAAAGCAAAGGGAGACGCUAAGGGUGACAAAGCCAAGGUGAAAGGGGAGCCUCAGAGGAGGUCGGCGCGGCUGUCUGCCAGACCUGCUCCCCCAAAGCCAGAAGCCAGGCCUGCCAAGGCCCCCCGCAAGAAGGGAGAGAAGCUGCCCAAGGGGAAGAAGGGGGGCACAGAGGGCGGCGCGUCCGGGAACAGGGCCACCAAGGACGCGGCCGCCCCCGCGGCACAGCCACAGACAGCCGAAGGCAGCAGCGACACCAAAUGAAAUGUGCAGUGUUCAUAGCUCCGUUCUUCCAGUGACUCUGUCCCUCGAAACACCAUUUUUCUUUAAUCAACUUUUAUACAAAUGUAGACUUUGGGGUCCUAUUUCAAAUUUCUGUGGUUCGCGUACAAGACACAUUGUCAGUGUCCCUUGUGGAAAGCGCCAGCACCACUGACCAGAGGUCUCCGAAGCCGGGUGGAAAGGGGGGAGGCGGCCUCUCCUGUCCUCACCCUUGAAGAUUGUUCGUGGCUCCCAGGAGAGCUCUGGGACACUCACUGCUGUCACCACUGCGGUCAGACGCCUUCCAGCCCGGUGUUCCCCGCAGCCAGCGCACGUGCGGGACUCCUCAGGACAGUCGUGACGCAGCCCCGGCACCCCGGUCCUACCCGGUCAUCACGUCAGGCCUUCGGGCCGGGACUUCACGAUAGCACUGCCAGAAAGAGCCAGGGUUCCAGUGUGUCAUUGGCGGUGACCCCAGCGGCCAUCCCGGAGGCUGCAGUCCCGUCCCCCGCCCCCCCCCCCCAGGGUGACCCGUGAACCGCUCUCACGUGCCUGUUGGGAAAUCUCCAGCCCCUUCUGAGAGUUUCACCUUCCCAACCAGCAGCGGAAGACGGCCGGCCUGUGGGAGUUUGGACGUCGUCGGCCUUGGGGAUGUCAGCCAUGUCCUCCUGGAAGGGACUGGCUUUGGAAAGUUCCCUGUGAAAGCUGAGCACACAUUAGCUGGGGGCGGGGGGGGGGGGGCGUUUGCUCCCCGGCCCUAGAGAUCUGCCCUGUGGCUCGGACAUCGUGGGCCCCGCACGUCCUUCUGUCUGUCUGUCUGUCUGUAGUCUUCUCCGCACUGCUGGGCAGGAAAGGAGGAGAUAGGAGCUCAGAGUGUUUUCUCCAAGCUGGUAGGUGGUGGUUGUCUCCGUACCGUCUGCCUGCAGAAUGGUUCUUCUUCCCCACGGAUCCGGAUCCGGAGCGCCAGCUCUUUGAUGCACAGGUCCCCGUGGGCAGGCGGGUCUGUUGACGACCCUCUUGUGACUCACUGGUCAGUCGGCCCAGCUCCGUGGCGAUGGACUGCCCGAGCGCUCCUGCGGCUCCUGGAACAAGGCCUUGUGGCUCAGGACAAAUCCUGCCUCCAAAAAGAAUCUCCACCAAACUUUCCUUCUUCGGGAGCCCUUCUCGGCCCAUCACUCCUCCGUUGGACCAUUAGCAUUAGAUUGACAAGUUCUCCAACAAAACAAAAAUUGUGGAAUUUUUAGUGGCUUUGUAUUGGAUUUCUAGACUAAUUUCAGUGUGGAGUCUUCCCAUGAAGGUGAUGUAGCUCUCUAUUUACUUAGCCUUUUCAAGUGUCUUUCAAUAAAGUUUUAUAAUUUUCUCCAUAAA